GGCCCAAAUCUGAAGUAAGGUAGAUUAGUAAGGUCCUACUACUCUACUGUACUUCGAAAUUGGGCCC
RNAcentral lists this microRNA precursor (67 nucleotides) under Haemonchus placei. RNAcentral describes it as "mir-5928 microRNA precursor family". It matches the Rfam family "mir-5928 microRNA precursor family". The record is from Rfam by way of RNAcentral. Lineage: Eukaryota; Metazoa; Nematoda; Chromadorea; Rhabditida; Trichostrongylidae.